This 79-nucleotide ribosomal RNA is filed under the name Staphylococcus aureus. RNAcentral's name for it is "partial 23S ribosomal RNA". The record is from RNAcentral. Lineage: Bacteria; Bacillati; Bacillota; Bacilli; Caryophanales; Staphylococcaceae.
GAUGAGGUUAAUAGGUUCGAUGUGGAAGCAUGGUGACAUGUGGAGCUGACGAAUACUAAUCGAUCGAAGACUUAAUCAA